GACGAACGCUGGCGGCGUGCCUAAUACAUGCAAGUCGAGCGAAUGACGAGAAGCUUGCUUCUCUGAUUUAGCGGCGGACGGGUGAGUAACACGUGGGCAACCUGCCCUACAGAUCGGGAUAACUCAGGGAAACCUGGGCUAAUACCGGAUAAUCCUUCGAAUCACAUGUUUUGAAGUUGAAAGGCGCUUCGGCGUCACUGUAGGAUGGGCCCGCGGUGCAUUAGCUAGUUGGUGGGGUAACGGCCUACCAAGGCAACGAUGCAUAGCCGACCUGAGAGGGUGAUCGGCCACAUUGGGACUGAGACACGGCCCAAACUCCUACGGGAGGCAGCAGUAGGGAAUCUUCCACAAUGGACGAAAGUCUGAUGGAGCAACGCCGCGUGAGUGAUGAAGGUUUUCGGAUCGUAAAACUCUGUUGUAAGGGAAGAACAAGUACGUUAGGAAAUGAACGUACCUUGACGGUACCUUAUUAGAAAGCCACGGCUAACUACGUGCCAGCCGCCGCAGUAA
Molecule: ribosomal RNA, 510 nt
Filed under: uncultured bacterium
Lineage: Bacteria
Description: partial 16S ribosomal RNA
Rfam family: Bacterial small subunit ribosomal RNA
Source: RNAcentral